UUGAGAACUCUAAUGAGACUGCCGGUGAUAAACCGGAGGAAGGCGGGGACGACGUCAAGUCAUCAUGGCCCUUAUGGGAUGGGCUACACACGUGCUACAAUGGGGAGUACAAAGAGCAGCCAACUGGCGACAGUGCGCGAAUCUCAAAAAACUUCUCGUAGUCCGGAUUGGAGUCUGCAACUCGACUCCAUGAAGUCGGAAUCGCUAGUAAUCGCGAAUCAGAAUGUCGCGGUGAAUACGUUCCCGGGCCUU
RNAcentral lists this ribosomal RNA (252 nucleotides) under uncultured Thiomicrospira sp. RNAcentral describes it as "partial 16S ribosomal RNA". It matches the Rfam family "Bacterial small subunit ribosomal RNA", at positions 1131 to 1382 of the family's 1533-position model. Lineage: Bacteria; Pseudomonadati; Pseudomonadota; Gammaproteobacteria; Thiotrichales; Piscirickettsiaceae. The record is from RNAcentral.